GACGAACGCUGGCGGCGUGCCUAAUACAUGCAAGUCGAACGAAGCUUUUUUAACUGGUGCUUGCACCGACUUAAACAACUGAGUGGCGAACGGGUGAGUAACACGUGGGUAACCUGCCCCAAAGCGGGGGAUAACAUUUGGAAGCAGAUGCUAAUACCGCAUAACCACAGAAACCACAUGGUUUCUGUGUCAAGGAUGGUUUCGGCUAUCACUUUGGGAUGGACCCGCGGCGUAUUAGCUAGUUGGUAAGGUAAUGGCUUACCAAGGCAAUGAUACGUAGCCGAACUGAGAGGUUGAUCGGCCACAUUGGGACUGAGACACGGCCCAAACUCCUACGGGAGGCAGCAGUAGGGAAUCUUCCACAAUGGACGAAAGUCUGAUGGAGCAACGCCGCGUGAGUGAAGAAGGUUUUCGGAUCGUAAAACUCUGUUGUCAGAGAAGAACGUGUGCGAGAGUAACUGUUCGUGCAGUGACGGUAUCUGGCCAGAAAGCCACGGCUAACUACGUGCCAGCCGCCGCCGUAA
RNAcentral lists this ribosomal RNA (524 nucleotides) under uncultured bacterium. Its description in RNAcentral is "partial 16S ribosomal RNA". It matches the Rfam family "Bacterial small subunit ribosomal RNA", at positions 28 to 523 of the family's 1533-position model. The record is from RNAcentral.